RNAcentral lists this ribosomal RNA (656 nucleotides) under uncultured bacterium. RNAcentral's name for it is "bacterial SSU rRNA". It matches the Rfam family "Bacterial small subunit ribosomal RNA", at positions 560 to 1219 of the family's 1533-position model. The record is from RNAcentral.
GUAAAGCGCGCGCAGGCGGCCUUUUAAGUUGGAUGUGAAAGCCUAUGGAAACCUAGAACUGCAUCCAAAACUAUCAGGCUAGAGUGUGGGAGAGGAAGAUGGAAUUAGUUGUGUAGGGGUAAAAUCCGUAGAGAUAACUAGGAAUACCAAAAGCGAAGGCAAUCUUCUGGAACAUUACUGACGCUGAGGCGCGAAAGCGUGGGGAGCAAACAGGAUUAGAUACCCUGGUAGUCCACGCCCUAAACGAUGAAUGUUAGUCGUCGGGUAGCUAGUCUAUUCGGUGAUGCAGCUAACGCAUUAAACAUUCCGCCUGGGGAGUACGGUCGCAAGAUUAAAACUCAAAGGAAUAGACGGGGACCCGCACAAGUGGUGGAGCAUGUGGUUUAAUUCGAAGAUACGCGAAGAACCUUACCUAGCCUUGACAUAUUUUAGAACACUUUAGAGAUAGAGUGGUGCCUUCGGGAGCUAAUAUACAGGUGCUGCACGGCUGUCGUCAGCUCGUGUCGUGAGAUGUUGGGUUAAGUCCCGCAACGAGCGCAACCCUCGUCACUAGUUACUAACGGUUCGGCCGAGGACUCUAGUGAGACUGCCUUCGUAAGGAGGAGGAAGGUGAGGACGACGUCAAGUCAUCAUGGCCCUUACGGCUAGGGCAACAC